This 253-nucleotide ribosomal RNA is filed under the name uncultured bacterium. Its description in RNAcentral is "partial 16S ribosomal RNA". It matches the Rfam family "Bacterial small subunit ribosomal RNA", at positions 524 to 776 of the family's 1533-position model. The record is from RNAcentral.
UACAGAGGUGGCAAGCGUUGUUCGGAAUUACUGGGCGUAAAGGGCGCGUAGGCGGUCCUGUAAGUCCCGUGUGAAAUCCCCCGGCUCAACUGGGGAAUGGCACGGGAGACUGCGGGGCUUGAGUUCGGGAGAGGGAAGCGGAAUUCCGGGUGUAGCGGUGAAAUGCGUAGAUAUCCGGAGGAACACCGGUGGCGAAGGCUGCUUCCUGGACCGACACUGACGCUAAGGCGCGAACGCUAGGGGAGCAAACGCG